RNAcentral lists this ribosomal RNA (255 nucleotides) under uncultured bacterium. RNAcentral's name for it is "partial 16S ribosomal RNA". It matches the Rfam family "Bacterial small subunit ribosomal RNA", at positions 524 to 777 of the family's 1533-position model. The record is from RNAcentral.
UACGAAGGGGGCGAGCGUUGUUCGGAAUUACUGGGCGUAAAGGGCGCGCAGGCGGCUCUGAAAGUCAGAUGUGAAAGCCCCGGGCUUAAACCUGGGAAUUGCAUUUGAUACUCUGGAGCUUGAGUACGGGAGAGGAGAGUGGAAUUCCCAGUGUAGAGGUGAAAUUCGUAGAUAUUGGGAAGAACACCGGUGGCGAAGGCGGCUCUCUGGACCGAUACUGACGCUGAGGCGCGAAAGCGUGGGGAGCAAACAGGG